This 1572-nucleotide long non-coding RNA is filed under the name Mytilus galloprovincialis (Mediterranean mussel). Lineage: Eukaryota; Metazoa; Mollusca; Bivalvia; Mytilida; Mytilidae. The record is from RNAcentral.
UCUGCCAAAACAUUUUUUUUUUAUUUUAAAACGUAAUGUUGUAUAUAUACAUAUAUCACUAAUGAAAUAUAAACUGUGAAUAAAUAUUUCUAUAAAAAAAAAGUUGUGUAUGUUUCAUACACUUUGAAAUGAUUUUUAUUAAUUUUUGUUUCCACUUUUGAAGGGACAGACCCAUUUCAAGCCAAAUCACUCUUUAAAACAAUAAUCAGUGUAUGACAACACAGACAUUCAUGUGAUAAAGAUUUGAAAUGAACUGUAUUAUUUAGAAGAUCAGGGACUUUCUAUACUAAUGGGACUCAUCUCUAAUGAUUUUAACUGAUUACUAAGCCACCUGUUUAAAGCUACCAUUCAACAAUAAACUUAGUUUCAUAUCUCUGAUAUACGAUGCUGAGUAGUUAUUUGCGUAUUUCACAGUACAUUGCAGUUACAUAAUUAAUAUUAGUUGUUAAUAUAAAUUCUGAUUAAUAGCCAUUUAGAAUGACAAAAAAUAUAAGAUUUUGAAAGAAUGAUGAAUUAUUAAACUUAGACGUAUCAUUUUGAAGAAAAUCCCAGUUGUGUAAACUGGUUUACAUAUCAAACAAGAUGGCAGCUACAGAAAAUUCAACAAACAAAUACCUCAAAGUUCAAAGAUCAAUAUUUGAAAAAUGAUCCGAGAAAUCUUUUGAAAAACAGCAUUUUGUAAUGACAAAAUAUUUAAAAUUUCUUAAAAAUGAUUUUUAGUUAAACUUGAACUUAUAGUUAUGAAGAACACGUCGUAAAUGUGAAAUGAUUUGCUAUAAAGUCACGUGAUAUCAGCUACAGUCGAGAUAAGUCUGAUAAUUUGUAUAGACAUCGUUAUAAGUGACCAGUCCCGUUAGUAUAGAAAGUUCCUGAGAAGAUUAAGAAUAUUUUCAUUGAAAUGUUAAAAUAAAACGUACCAGUGAUUUUACUUAGAGUAGUUAUGUCCCUUUGUUUUAGAUUAUCGUCCUAAAACAGUUAUCAAUAAAUAAUUAGUAUUGACUAACCAAUAGGAACAAUUAGAAUGCCCGAAACAAGUACAUUUAUCCUAUCUUUACUGAAAGACCCAAGAUUUCAAAAGUUGUAUUUUUGACAAAUUAUUAUAAACCUUUAAAACCGCUUAACUUUUAACUACAAUUAACAAAAUACCUGAAUUUAUAAAUAGUUUUCAAUAUUUUAACAGAAUAAGGUUUAACUGUAAACAGUAAAUAUAUUAUAAGCCAAAUAUCUUUAAGAACAAUCUUUAAAAAAUUCUUCCGCAAGGUUGUUUUUGAUUUAUGUUUUAGUGGAAGUUCCAAAGUUAAUAAAAUAAUUAUGGCCAAAAGAUGAAAGAAAUGACAGAAACUAAACAGAUUCUGAAAUGUUGAAUCACACUCUGAUUCCAAGCAUGUUUACACAACAAGGCAAUAACAAAAAUCUGAUUCCAGUUAACAUUUGAAAUGUUAUGUAACUUAAAACCAUAUAUAAGUCAAAUAAUAGAUUAUCUAUAUAUAGAAUAACAAUAUUGUACUUUACAAGCACGUACCACAGACAAUUUUCUUAUCAAUCAUAACAUAAAUACUGUAUAUCAUAUAU